This is a microRNA precursor of Pan troglodytes (chimpanzee), 97 nucleotides long. It matches the Rfam family "mir-544 microRNA precursor family". The record is from Rfam. Lineage: Eukaryota; Metazoa; Chordata; Mammalia; Primates; Hominidae.
AUCACCUGGGGAUCUUGUUAAAAUGCAGAUUUUGAUGCCAGGGGUCUGGGAUGGGGCCUGAGUUGUGCAUUUCUAAUAAGCUCCCAGGUGACACUCA